RNAcentral lists this ribosomal RNA (459 nucleotides) under uncultured bacterium. RNAcentral describes it as "partial 16S ribosomal RNA". It matches the Rfam family "Bacterial small subunit ribosomal RNA", at positions 338 to 795 of the family's 1533-position model. The record is from RNAcentral.
CCUACGGGAGGCAGCAGUGAGGAAUAUUGGUCAAUGGGCGCAAGCCUGAACCAGCCAAGUAGCGUGCGGGAUGACGGCCCUACGGGUUGUAAACCGCUUUUGCCCGGGGAUAAGCUUCUUCUCGUGUGGCGGUUUGCAGGUACCGCGCGAAUAAGGCCCGGCUAAUUCCGUGCCAGCAGCCGCGGUAAUACGGAAGGUCCGAGGGUUAUCCGGAUUUAUUGGGCUUAAAGGGAGCGUAGGCGGGCGGUCAAGUCAGCGGUAAAAUAGCGGGGCUCAACCGCGCCCCGCAGUUGAAACUGGAGGGCUUGAGUGCGCGAGAGGUAGGCGGAAUUCGUGGUGUAGCGGUGAAAUGCAUAGAUAUCACGAAGAACCCCGAUUGCGAAGGCAGCCUACCGGCGUGCUACUGACGCUGAGGCUCGAAGGUGCGGGUAUCGAACAGGAUUAGAUACCCUAGUAGUC